CCUACGGGAGGCAGCAGUGGGGAAUAUUGCACAAUGGGGGAAACCCUGAUGCAGCGACGCCGCGUGAGUGAAGAAGUAUUUCGGUACGUAAAGCUCGAUCAGCAGGGAAGAAAAUGACGGUACCUGACUAAGAAGCCCCGGCUAACGACGAGCCAGCAGCCGCGGUAAUACGUAGGGGGCAAGCGUUAUCCGGAUUUACGGGGUGUAAAGGGAGCGGAGACGGUUCAGGAAGUCUGGAGUGAAAGGCCGGGGCCCAACCCCGGGACUGCUCUGGAAACUCUUGAACUUGAGUGCAGGAGAGGUAAGCGGAAUUCCUCGUGUAGCGGUGACAUGCGUAGAUAUUAGUAGGAACACCAGUGGCGACGGCGGCUUACUGGACUGUAACUGACGUUGAGGCUC
This 399-nucleotide ribosomal RNA is filed under the name uncultured bacterium. Its description in RNAcentral is "partial 16S ribosomal RNA". It matches the Rfam family "Bacterial small subunit ribosomal RNA", at positions 338 to 754 of the family's 1533-position model. The record is from RNAcentral.